GACGAACGCUGGCGGCGUGCCUAACACAUGCAAGUCGAGCGAAGAAACGAGACGUUCCCUUCGCGGAUGUAAGGGGCGGGCGGGUGAGACACGCGUGCACAACCCCCCUAACCGGGUGAGAUCAAUUAGAGACAGCGUAGCAAAUACGGUACAAUAUUUUGAUCCGUAUGGUUCAUAAGGGAAAGUCGGUCUUGCGGUCAGUUAUAGCUGCAUCCGCGCUUCAUUAGUUAGUUGGUAAGGUAACGGCUUACCAAGGCAACGAUGCCUAGCCGACCUGAGAGGAUGAUCAGCCACACUGGAACUGAGACACGGUCCAGACUCCUACGGGAGGCAGCAGUGGGGAAUCUUCCGCAAUGGGCGAAAGCCUGACGCAGCAACGCCGCGUGAGGGAUGAAGGUCUUCGGGUCGUAAAACUCUUUUAUUAGGGAAGAACAUAUGUGUGAGAAACUGUGCACAUCUUGACGGUACCUAAACAGAAAGCCACGGCUAACUACGUG
Molecule: ribosomal RNA, 497 nt
Filed under: uncultured bacterium
Lineage: Bacteria
Description: partial 16S ribosomal RNA
Rfam family: Bacterial small subunit ribosomal RNA
Source: RNAcentral